RNAcentral lists this non-coding RNA (78 nucleotides) under Nocardia seriolae. Its description in RNAcentral is "Magnesium sequence". It matches the Rfam family "M-box riboswitch aptamer (ykoK leader)", at positions 1 to 77 of the family's 169-position model. From Rfam's summary of the family: M-box riboswitch, also know as ykoK leader is described as a metaloregulatory RNA that sense divalent metals and function as a genetic control element of genes related to divalent metal transport in bacteria. It was first reported upstream of the B.subtilis ykoK gene and genes with related functions in other bacteria. The record is from Rfam by way of RNAcentral. Lineage: Bacteria; Bacillati; Actinomycetota; Actinomycetes; Mycobacteriales; Nocardiaceae.
UCAGCACCUCGCUAGGCGAGGCUCCUGUUCGAACACAGGCCACUGAUCCGACGACGUCGAGAGACGCCCAGGGUUAGU